ACCGUCUUUUUGGUGUUUUCAUAUUACUUGCGAAACUAAAAUGCUAACACAAGGAAUCAACACUAAAAAAAGGGUAAACAAGAUAUGAUACUGGGACAGGAAUAUAUCACAACACAAACAUAUAUAUUUUCACAUGAACGUAAUUAACACAGGGACUACAGAACACACAUAAGCACACAUAAGCACACAUACGCGAACAGGGCACUACACCAUGAUUCAGGUUACAUAAGUAAACAAAUUAUACAAGCCACUUGACUAGUAUCACAGAUCAAGAGUAGUAUUGAACAACUAAAAAAUAGAUAGUAUAAGUACCUAGCACAUGGAGCAAGUACUCUUAGAAUCUGAAUGUUUCAGACUACACGUCUCAGACUACACAAAAUUCAGAGAAGAGAAGGAGAAAGAGAGAUGGCAGCAGGAGGUUAGAGAAAGAAGAAGCAGCAACUGGGGCAUGGGGAAAGGAGCAGCAACAGUACGGGAUUCAGGGAAGAGCAACAGAGAGGGAGAGAGCAGCAGCAAGGAUGAGGGAAGGAGGAGCAGCACCAGGGGUGCAAGACGAGCAGCAACAGCAGGAACGUGAGAAGGAGCAGUACCAGGGGCGUGAGAGAGGAAGCAGCAGCAUGGUGAGGAGAAGGAGAAGAGCAACAACGAGGUAAGGGAAGAGCAGCGAGCGGUAGGGAGGCGCUGGAUGUGGUGGUGCUAUGGCGACGGCGCGGUGGUGUUGGAGGCGCGAGGUGGUGGAUGGCGCUGGUGUUGGAUGGCGUGAGUGAUGGAUGGCGCGAGGUAGUGAUGCGGUGAGAGGUGCUGGUGGCGCCGCCACGCCGGCCUGGCCGCGGUAGCGGCCGGAGGUGGAGAAGGGGUCGGGUGAGGGAGAUGGAGAUGCCAUGCCUUAUUGGGAAUAGAGGCUGCGGUAGGGAUUUGGUUCCUCUCCUCAGAUCUGCACUUUUGCACUUCGGCCCUUCUACUUCUCUUCCUACUUCACAAGUUGAUCCUCCACUUCUUUAGGCAGAACCUUGAUACUUUAAUAUUCAUCACACUCAAGUCCCUCUUCCUUCUCUUCUUUCAUAUGCUCAUCUCAAUAGUCACAUAGACGGAAUCUUGAAGUUUAUAGUGCCUUUGCGCACUUUUCUGCAAAAGAAACAAGUGACAAGUAAAUGAUCCCUUUAUAAGAUUUUCAUUCAAAUAUGCAACAGUUCACAGCAAGAAUUGAUGGUCAGGUCACAAUAAACCGCAUAUUUGAGUGCGAAAAGAUGUAUAUGAAAUGUGUUGAUCAAGUUCCCCCACACUCAAAUCUUUGCUUGUCCUCAAGCAAAGGCAUAUGACAAGAGCAAGAAUAUGAACAGUGAGCUGAGUAAAGAAUGUCCUGAUAAAAUAGAUCUCCAAACAAGGCAUGCUUCAGACUUAGCUAGUGAAAAUUAAUGGUUAGGAGUGCUUCAAAGGAAUAGGAUACUAGUAGACUUGAUCAUUUUAAACGUUUACAACGAUAAAAGUGGAUCAACAAGUUUGAAUGAUGAUUGUGCCAAAGGUUCCUAAAGAGAGCACGAUCCCGAGAAUUAAAAGAACUUGUGAUCAGAUUACUUAUUAACAGGAACACAACACUGUGUUUGAACCACUUAUUGAAUUUUGAAGGAAGCAAUGAUAAUAUUUUAUCGAUCUCACCAAAGGAACAUACCACCGAUCCCGAGAACAUGGUAUACACCCGGCUCGACCAAUUAUAUAGUUCUUUUUGUUUGUCUCCCCAAAGGAACAUACCAUCGAUCCCAAGAACAUGGUAUACACCUGGUUCGACAAUUACAUUUUUUAUCAUUAAUUACUGCCCAAGCUAACCCGAUUUCACAUGCCACCGAUCCCGAGAACAUGACAUGCUACUGUAGGUAGUCAGACUAAUUUAUUCAAUAUUACUUAUCUUAAAUGAACAACGCAUAAGCACAAAAAAAGGAAUCAUCACUUCUCCAUGUAUGGUUCACAUGCUACCGAUCCAGGGAACAUAGCAUGCUAAUCCAUAGUGGUUAGGUGAUUGCUCUCAAUGGAAACACAUUAGGCACAAACUCCGCAUCUGACACUUAAUGAUCUAGGUGUAUCAAGGUAAAAGCAGAAAAUGAUUAAGUUUUCUAGUGUACUAGGGAUUUGAGCACUCAAAACUAGUAACUUUCACUAAUUUCGGCAAAGCAAGCAUUGUGUAGAUCACUAGUUUACAAGGCAUUCAACACUCACUUCACAUAUUCACAUCAAUCACCCUAUGUCGAAGGUAAAAUUCAGUGGGACGAUAUUUAAGAAAUUGCUCAAGCGACCCAAAUAACAUUUGAUUACAGCAUGUAUAAUGUAUGAUGGUAUUCAGAUUGGAGUCAUGAAACAGCUCAUCGGGCUUAUAUGAUGUAGGUCUCGCUUGAUCACUCUCACAUCCUCAUGCAUUGUGACUCCUCUCUUUUUGCUUCCCUAUCCUCAUGCCUGCUCCAGCUUCUCUCUUCAUGUGUGCUCCUUGCUUCUCCUCAUCCCCAUGCCAUGAGUCCACCGGGGUCCCAGGGAAUGUCAUCUCGAACUUGGUCAGCAUGUAGUGGAUCGUGCACAAGCAACAACCUGAAAGAGCACUCAACCAAGGAAACAAUACAAGUGACAAGGGUAAUGCCCUGUAAAUCAUCUAUAGAGUACCCAAUUACAUAAGCAUAGCUAUAAAGCACAUGUUUAGGAUGGUACAAAUCAGUAAGCUCAAUGCUAACAUGAGAAUGAUAUUUAUCAUUAACUCAAGACUAACAUGGGAAUGAUGUGUUUCAUUAAGCAUAGAACUAGCACGAGGAAAGUAACGGUGAUCAUCACAGGUGAGAGUAAUGCCACUAACAGGGUGUGUAUGAUCAUGUCCAAACAAAUAGUUUUUCAAAUCUACCUUAAGUGAUGGCAUCAUGUAAUGCAAGUUAGAAGCAAAGAAAUCACAAGGGAGCAUGUCAUCAAGAGGAUUGGGUAAACCUGACACAUCACGCUCAUGUAUGACAAUAGGCCAAUGAAUCUCAGGUUCUUCAUCUUCAUCUACAGCAUCUUCUUGUACUUCUUCAGGAGUAGUAGAUGAUGAGUCUUCAACUUGAUCACUUGGAAAUUGUAGCUCUUGAUCAUCUUGUUCCUUGUCUUCUUGUAAAUAUUCUUCAAGUUGAGGACUCUCAUCCUCUGGAUCUUCUAUGGUGCUACUACCAGCAACACUUAAUUGAGUCUGAAGUGUCCCCAUCUGUGAAUAUUCACUAACAUGAUCUGGUAGGGUUGUUGAGAUCACUACCUCGCUUUCUUUCUGAGCAAUGUUCUCCUCAUCACCAUCACUGCUAAGUUUCAACAGUGACACUAAUGACUUCCACCAGUCAUGCAGCUCAGCAACACGUGGGAUCUUCUCAGGAUAUUGAAGUAUCAACUCUUCUAAAUUUGACUCAACCUCUUGUAUCUCUCUCCUUGGAAUGUCUCUGACUUGCUUAGUUGUAUGUGCAGGAGUUGGAAUCUCAUCUUCACUAUUCUUCUCGGAGAUACUCUCUUUAACUGUGAUAGAGGCAACCACCGGUGGAGCUAAUGAUUUCCUCUUGACAAAUAGCCCAGAUACCGUUGUAACACAAGUGUGGGCAAUUGGUGACACGACUAAAUUCCACCAGUCACAUAGUUGACUAACACAAGUGAAUUUCUCCAUAUCUUGCUGUCUCAACUUAGCAUCAAUUAGAGUAGGUUCCUCAUAAACAUCUUCUUGCAACUUUGACUCAUUCUGGACAGUUUCAUUGCCAUGAGGUAUUGGAUCUGCUACUGUGGUUUCCAUCUGAUCUACAGUAGUUUCAUCAUCUUGAGAAAUAUCAUAAUCAUCAAGAAGGAUAAUUGAAGUAAGAUCAAUCUUUCUAUAUGGAGGAUCUAAUUCAGUUCUGAAAUGUUGUUGUCCCCGGAAUGAAACAUGCUGGUUUUGAAUAUUAGGCACCAUGGAUGAUUUCUGUUCACUUAUGGAACACACAGCUUCUGAUUGCACGAGGCUUGCAACCUUCGGAUUUGAACUAGGCCUUUCAUAACCCCAUUGCAUUUGGUGGAAGGCAAUGCUCUCAAUGAGAAUAAUUGCACCCUCAACGGUCUUGUUCAUGAUUAUUCCACCAGCUGACAUAUCAAUAAGAUCUCUUGAAGCAUGUGUCAGCCCUCUAUAGGAUAUCUGAAGCACUAACCAAUCCUUUUGCCCAUGAUUAGGACAUUUUAUAAGCAAAUACUUAUAUCUCUCCCAAGCUGCAUACAAGCUCUCACUACCAUCUUGCGCAAAACUGAGGAUCUGGUCACGAAUUGCAGCUUGCUUGUAAAGUGGAAAAUAUCUAUACAGGAAAGCUUGUGAAAUAUCACCCCAAGUGUAUGAUCUUGAUGGCAAAGAAUAGUACCAGUCCUUAGCAGCAUCUCUGAGAGAGAAUGUGAACAACAUACACUUGAUAGCAUCUUGGGAAACGCCAUGAUACGGGACUGUAUUGGCAUACUCCAGAACAUUACUAAUGUGCUCAUGAGGGUCUUCAUUGGGUAAUCCACUAAACUGAUUAUGCAAGAUGAGAGCAAUAAGUCCAGGCCUCAACUCAAAAUUUUCGGCCUCAAUAGAUGGCCAAAUUGGCCUUGUCAUCAUGUCCAAACUACUUGGCAACCAAAGAUCAUGUACUAAAGCCAUAUGUUCAAGUGCAACUGUCAAUCAACCUACAAAUAAUAAGAUAUCCUACACACGCUCACAAACAUGAAACAUUGGUGAGAGGGUUAGUAUCCUAAUAAGCCGAAGCAAAAAAGAGUAAAAAGGUAAAAGAAACACAGAAAUAAAUUUGACUGGAAAUUUAAACAAAAACUAAACUAAGCCUAGUCUAUAGCUUCACACAAUCGCUCGACGCUAGUCCCCAGCAACAGCGCCAAAAUGAUCAAUUGAAAGUAUAGCAAGGUUUUUACACCCCAAACUACGGAUGUCGUGUUCUCCACAGGGACUAGGCGACGACGACUAUGCUCGGCUAAAGCUAGGUAGCACAAUUUUAAGAGAUAAAUGCAGAAAAUAAGAAUCUAAACUAACAAUAAUUGUACCCAAAGAUAAUCCACACAAAAAAAUACAAACAACAAAGGGAGAUUAAGAUUGCAAUCACCGUCUUUUUGGUGUUUUCAUAUUACUUGCGAAACUAAAAUGCUAACACGGGGGAUCAACACUAAAAAAAGGGUAAACAAGAUAUGAUACUGGGACAGAAAUAUAUCACAACACAAACAUAUAUAUUUUCACAUGAACGUAAUUAACACAGGGACUACAGAACACACAUAAGCACACAUAAGCGAACAGGGCACUACACCAUGAUUCAGAUUACACAAGUAAACAAAUAAUACAAGCCACUUGACUAGUAUCACAGAUCAACAGAGUAGUAUUGAACAACUAAAAAAUAGAUAGUAGAAGUAACUAGUACAUGGAGCAAGUACUCUUAGAAUCUGAAUGUUUCAGACUACACGUCUCAAACUACAGAAAAUUCGGAGAAGAGAAGGAUAAAGAGAGAUGGCAGCAGGAGGUUAGAGAAAGAAGAAGAAGCAACUAGGGCAUGGAGAAAGGAGCAGCAACAGUACGGGAUUCAGAGAAGAGCAACAGAGAGGGAGAGAGCAGUAGCAAGGGCGAGGGAAGGAGGAGCAGCACCAGGGGCGCAAGACGAGCAGCAGCAGCAGCAGGAACGUGAGAAGGAGCAGUACCAAGGGCGUGAGAGGGGAAGCAGCAGCGUGGUGAGGAGAAGGAGAAGAGCAACAGCGAGGUAAGGGAAGAGCAGCGAGCAGCAGGGAGGCGCUGGAUGUGGUGGUGUUGUGGCGACGACGCGGUGGUGUUGGAGGCGCGAGGUGGUGGAUGGCGCUGGUGAUGGAUGGCGUGAGUGAUGUAUGGCGCGAGGUAGUGAUGCGGUGGGAGGUGCUGGUGGCGCGCCGCCACGCCGGCCUCGCCGCGGUGGCGGCCGGAGAUGGAGAAGGGGUCGGGUGAGGGAGAUGGAGAUGCCAGGCCUUAUUGGGAAUAGAGGCUGCGCUAGGGAUUUGGUUCCUCUCCUCAGAUCUGCACUUUUGCACUUCGGCCCUUCUACUUCUC
RNAcentral lists this long non-coding RNA (6061 nucleotides) under Triticum aestivum (bread wheat). RNAcentral's name for it is "long non-coding RNA (TAES_LNC011617)". The stretch from base 4176 to 4267 matches the Rfam family "Plant small nucleolar RNA R71". Lineage: Eukaryota; Viridiplantae; Streptophyta; Magnoliopsida; Poales; Poaceae. The record is from RNAcentral.